This 7389-nucleotide long non-coding RNA is filed under the name Gossypium barbadense (sea-island cotton). RNAcentral describes it as "long non-coding RNA (GBAR_LNC005032)". Lineage: Eukaryota; Viridiplantae; Streptophyta; Magnoliopsida; Malvales; Malvaceae. The record is from RNAcentral.
CCGGAUCCGACAUGCCACAUCGAAGCGUUCAAAAUAUUUUAUAUUGUUGAUCCAGAAAAACCUACUUAGUGUUUUAAAAGAUAAUUUCAUUAUAGGUUAAAGUGAAUGGAAGCUGUGCACCAGGUAGGAAACCGGAAAAGAGGAGGUGAGUCUAUCGGACUACUUAAGUCCCAAGCUCCCUUCGGAUCUAAUCCUAGACAUGCACACCGCCAUUGCCACACCUUAACGUCAUGUAUAUUUCUAGGAAACCGAUUUGAUUAAGUCAUUUUUAGGAAAAGUGAUUAAUUUUGGAAAAUACUUUCAUUGCGGAAGCUUUGCUUGUUGUCGUGUUAUUUUGAAAUCAAUUGUUGUUUUUUUUUUUGAAAACGCGCCCUAAAGCUAUCCAAUUUCAACAGUUAAAAUAAGUAAUACCUAUCUUAGUAAUACAUAUUAAAACCAUCAAAAAUAAUUAAGCGGCCUUAUUACAUUUAAAAACCCAAACCUCAACGUAAAUAAUAGGAUGUCCAGUUCACCAGAAGAAAAUCAAACUUUCAGAACGGGUGGCCACUCUGAAUUCCCUCACAGCUCCAAGCCCACUAUGGUUGGGGAUUUCCUGCGUGGAUGAAAAUAAAAUGGGUGAGUUUGGGGAAACUCAGUGUGUAAAGAAAACCCAUUCAAAGCCCAAGUCAGCUCAAGCCUAUUGGGCCUAAGCCCAUUCAGGUAACAGUGGUACUAGACCAGAGCCCUUUUCAGAUUACAAUAAACUGGGCCUUAGCCCCUUAUUCAGAUAACAGUAUGGCCCAUAGGCCCAUUUCAAAAUACAUGCAACAUCAAUAACAUAUGCAAGCCCAUUUGGGGAGACUACUCAACCCACCAACCACUACACUUUACCCGUACCAGCCCUACAUUCCAUGUGGGGAAUAGCUCAAUCCACCCAGCCCAACACUCCACAGUUGCAGCCUUGCUGCUCAGUUAACAGUAAAUUGAGGCAAAGCCUCCAGUACGUGGAUAAGCCACUUUCAGUACUUCCUCCGUCAAUAUCCCAAUCCCAUGCAUCAGAUAAUAACAACAUGGCAUGCAGUAAAUAACAACAGUCAAACAUGCAUUUAGGUUAAUUUAACCCUAGGGCUAUUUCGGUAAUUUAUCUACUAGGGUAAAACUGUAAAUUUUCCACUUUUAAAGGUAUUUCAGUAAUUUAUCUAUUUUAGGGUUUUUCAUGCAUAUUCCUACUUUUCACGUACUAACAGAAUCACGUACUGAGGGUUCUUACCGAAUUGGGCCCGUUGACCCAUCAUUCCAAUUUUGGCCCAUUAAGCCCAAAAAUAUCGAGGGCACAGAAAUCAUGCACUUUGCAGUCCAAAUUUUGCAGCUUACCAAAAACAUUAAUCGAUUUACCUCACGAGCAUUUGCACACUCGCAAAUCUACAAAAUACCGAUUUUCGGCAUUUCGGCUUUUCGACUUUUGUCGAUCUAGACUAAGAAAGAGGGUGUUAGUUACAUACCUGUUUGCGACGAUAUGCUGACAAGAUCCACACACGAACUGCCUACAAUUGGAUUACUAACACAUUAAUCUAACUAUUCAAAUACGAACUACGUAUUAACCCCUUACAAUAUUCGGCCAACCACACCUACAGAUCAUAGUAAGCUUAUAAGAAAUCAAUAAGCAACUUAUUAACAAAUUUUUGUCAAUGUUUACCACAUAAUCAUAAUCUCACUGCAAGCUGUCUUCUUGAACAACAGUCACUAAAUCAUUUAUAACUGGAGCUACAAAACUCCAAAUCAAGUGCCGUUAAUUUUACCUGAAAAUAGACUCAUAUAUCUUCUAUCUAUAAAAUUUUCAGAAUUUUUGGUUUAGCCAAUCAAUACCAGAUUUUUCUUAAAGUUUCCCAUGUUUCACUAUUUGACUAAUCUGACCACUCUUCAUUACGAAUCAAAUUUCUCAUUGUACAGAAUUCAAAAUAUGUUCUUGUUUAUUUCAUUUGAAAAUAGACUCAUUAAGAUUUAAUUACAUAAUUUAUAUAGCUUCUAACUCAUCUUCCACAAUUUAUGGUGAUUUUCCAAAGUCACAUUACUGCUGCUGUCCCAAGCAGAUUUAUUACCAAAUCACUCUUUCACACCCAACUUGCAUGCUUGUUAUUUAAACAUGUAUAUCACCAAUCAAUCAUCACAUAUCUAUGAUUUUACUUAAGUAUAAUCUCCAUUUCAUCAUUUUAAAGCACAGCAUGUUAGCCGAUUUUUCCCCUUAACAUCUAAGGCACAUGCAUGCUCAUUUGUUUGGCUCAACUUCACCUAUCUUCCAUUUUUCAUCAAAAGAACAUGAAACAACAACCAUUUCCUUCAUUUUAAUUCAUGACUAAAUGCUCACAACAUAACUAAAAACAAAAAUAUGCUUCAAAAGUUAAGGUAGAAUCAAGAAUAACUCAUGAACAUCAAGAUAGAAGCAAACUACCAUGAACUUACCUUCAAUUUUCUUCCCCAAGUGACCGAACAUUCAAGAGCUUUCUCCUCUCCUUUCUCUUCUCUAACUUUCGGCUAUGAUGAACAAAGAUGGACAAAACUUUGUUCUUUUCACCCCUUUUUCUUUUAAUAAAAUUUCAUAUUUCACCCAUUUAAUUCUUUAAUACAAAAGACAUGAAAUGCCCAUCAUGGAACAUUUACCUAAACCAUUAUCAUAGAACAUUUACCUAACUCAUUAUCAUGGAAUAUUUACCUAAUCCAUUAUCAUAGAACAUUUACCUAACCCAUUAUCAAUUUGUACCAUGAAUUAUGGAUAUCAAGUGCUCAUAUUGUCUAUAACAACAUGAUGGCUGGCCACUUCAUGUAAAAUGGGGGGUUUGUCAUGCAAAUCCUCCUAUUUUUCACUCCUAUUUAUUUGACCACUUCAAUUUAGCCUAUAGCGUUUUCAAAUAUUUUCACAUAGGUCCUAUUUCAUAAUUUCACCCCUUUUUUCUUAUGGAACAAAAAUUAAUUAAAAUUACCGGGUUCUAUCUUAAGCUUGGGCCUUCUAGAGGCCCACUAACAUAAUUAAACCUAUGCCAACAUUCACAGAGUUCCCGAAAAUUGAGGCGUUACAACUCUACCCCCUUAAAGAAAUUUCAGCCUCGAAAUUUACCUGAUCCAAAUAGUUGAGGGUAUUGUUGACGCAUAGUCUCUUCUGAUUCCCAAGUAGCUUCUUCCCUUCCAUGAUUACGCCACAGUACUUUUACCAACGAAACAAACUUCCUUCUUAAAACUUUAACCUCUCGAUCUAAAAUUUGUAUGGGUUCUUCCUCAAAGGUCAAAUCAGUCCUUACUUCAAUCUCCUCCACUGGCACAACAUGUGAGGGAUCCGAUCGAUAUCGUCUUAACAUAGACACAUGAAAGACGUCAUGGAUUCUGUCUAACUUUGGUGGUAACUCUAACUGAUACGCUACUGGCCCUACCCGCUGAAGAACCUGAUAAGGCCCUAUAAACCGCGGACUCAAUUUGCCUUUCUUGCCGAAUCUCAAGAUCUUCUUCCAAGGUGAAACCUUUAAGAAAACCAUAUCCCUAACUGCGAACUCUAUCUCUUUGCGCUUUAGAUCCGCAUACGACUUUUGUCUAUCAGAUGCCUCCUUUAAUCGAUCUCUUAUCAACUUAACCUUACUUUCAGUAUCUGCCACCAACUCUGGUCCAAGCACUUGUCGUUCACCCAACUCUGUCCAACACAUAGGCGUACGGCAUCUCCGCCCAUAAAGUGCCUCAUAUGGAGCCAUCUGAAUACUUGCUUGGUAGCUGUUAUUGUAUGCAAACUCUGCCAAUGGCAAUUAAUCCUCCAAACUCCCACUAAAAUCCAUGAUACAACCUCUUAACAUAUCCUCCAAAAUCUGAAUAACCCUCUCCGACUGUCCAUUUGUCUGUGGGUGAAAGGCAGUACUGAAAUCCAAACGUGUACCCAAUGCCUCCUGCAACGUCUUCUAGAACCGAGAUGUAAACCUAGGGUCUCGGUCGGAAAUAAUCGACACUAGCACUCCAUGUAGUCGCACUAUCUCUGCCACAUACAACCUAGCCAACUUUUACAGGGAGUAAUCAGUACGAACUGGUAUGAAAUGGGUAGAUUUUGUUAACCUAUCUACCACUACCCUCACAGAAUCUUUCUUGGUUGGUGUCAAAGGUAGCCCACUCACAAAGUCCAUAGUGACUCUCUUCUACUUCAACAAUGGAAUUUUCACCGGUUGCAGUAAUCCAGAAGGAAAUUGAUGUUCAGCUUUCACUUGCUGGCAUGUCAGACAUUUCCCCACGAACUCCAUUACUUCUCGUUUAAGCCCAGGCCACCAGUACAGUUCUCGCAAGUCGUGAUACAACUUAUUCCCUCCAAGAUGCAUGGCACAAAAUCCCCCAUGAGCUUUCUUCAAUAUUGACUGUUUCAAGUCAGAGUCCUUCGGAACACAAAUUCUUCCUCGGAAGCAUAAAACUCUUUCAGUAUUCAGUCCAAAAUCCUCAUUCUCACCCUUCUCAACUUGCUGAAACCGAAGAACCAACGAGUUAUCCUUCAACUAUUUUUCUUUAAUCUGCUCAGUCCAAAUAGGUCUCACUUGCAAUUCUGCUAACAGACUUCCAUAAUCAAAUAGACUCAAACGUGCAAACAAUGCUCUCAACUCAGAAACAACCCUUCGACUCAACGCAUCAGCCACCACGUUAGCCUUACCUGGGUGGUACUCAAUCGAACAGUCGUAAUCCUUAAGCAAUUCUACCCAUCUUCGUUGCCUAAGGUUUAACUCCUUCUGAGUUAACAGAUACUUUAGACUCUUAUGGUCCGUGUAUAUGAUACACUUUUCUCCAUAUAAGUAAUGUCUCCAGAUUUUCAACGCGAAGAUCACUGCUGCUAGCUCUAAGUCGUACGUAGGGUAGUUCGCUUCAUGAGGCUUAAGCUGCCACGAAGGAUAAGCGACCACCUUACCCUCUUGCAUCAGUACACAUCCUAACCCCACAUGCGACGCAUCGCUGUACACAGUGAAGUCCUUCCCAGACUCCGGUUGAAUCAACACAGGUGCUUCAGUUAGAACUUUCUUCAACUUCUCAAAAGCUUCCUGCUACUUCUUAGUCCAUACAAACGGUACUCCUUUCCUUAUGAGUUUUGUCAGAGGUGUUGCCAUCACAGAAAAACCUUCCACAAACCUUCUGUAGUAUCCUGCCAGUCCUAGGAAACUCCGUAUUUUCGACAUUGACCUAGGCGACUUCCACUCCAAAAUCGCUUCAAUUUUCCGAGGGUCCACCUUAAUCCCCUCAGCAGAGACCGCAUGUCCUAAGAAGGUUACCUUCCUCAACCAAAGUUCAGACUUGCUGAACUUCACAAAGAGUUCCUUCUUCCUUAACACUUGCAGCACUAUACGGAGAUGUUCAUCAUGUUUUGCUUCAGCUUCAAAUAUACCAGGAUAUCAUUAAUAAAGACGAAUACGAACUGAUCAAAAAAUGGUUGGAACACACGAUUCAUCAGAUCCAUAAAUACUGCAGGAGCGUUCGUCAGUCCAAAUGGCAUAACCAAAAACUCGUAAUGACCAUACCGAGUCCUGAAUGCCGUCUUAUAGAUAUCUGCCUCCUUGACUCUUAACUGAUGAUAUCUAGAUAGAAGGUCGAUCUUGGAAAAUAUAGAAGCUUCUCUAAGCUGGUCGAACAGAUCAUCAAUCCUUGGCAGUGGAUACUUAUUCUUAAUUGUCGGUUUGUUCAAUUGGCGAUAAUCAAUGCACAUCCGCAUUGUGCCAUCCUUCUUCUUCACGAAUAGCACUGGUACUCCUCAUGGAGACACGCUUGGCCUAAUGAAGCCCCUAUCCAACAACUAUUGAAUUUGAGCCUUUAAUUCCACAAACUCCUUCGGUGCCAUCCUAUAUGGUGCGAUGGACAUGAACGCCAUUCCAGGCAACAAAUCUAUUCCAAACUCAACUUCUCGGUUCGGAGGCAAUCCUGGAAGCUCCUCCGGAAAAACAUCUUGGAACUCCUUUACGGUCCUAACCUUAUCCACUGUCAGUCCCUCCUCUUCUGACUGACUUACAAAUGCCAAAUAGGCUUCACAACCUUUCUGAAUCCACUUUUCGGAUCUUAAAGCCGACACCACAUUGGACAAAUAAUCCCUUCGUUCACCUAUCACUAUAACCUCCUCAUCCUUUGUGGUCCUUAACACUAUUCGUUUAGCAGCACAAUCCAGGGUCACUUUAUGCUUAACAAGCCAGUCCAUUCCCAAAAUAAGACCAAACUCUUCGAACGGUAACUCCAUCAGAUCUCCAGGGAAAAUCUUACCUUGAGUUUCUAAGGGUACAUCCCUAUACAGUUUGUCUACCCUAACCGAGUGACCCAAAGGACUUAGUAUAGAUACCCCACUCACAAUCUCCUCAGAGCAGUCCAAGUUGUCCAUAAUCCGUUCUAUGGCCUCCAACCAAUAUUCUGCCACAUUCGGGGCUAUACUAGACACGCCUCUAAAGAUCUCCGCUCCGUUAGCCCGAAGUCAUUCAGAAAUAGAUCCCUGAACUCCAUUACCCGUACUUGCCCCGGUAACCCUUUUCAGAACACGAAGCAUUGCCUGUGACAAGGCAUCAUCCUCGGCACCGCGGUCAUGAGACUUUACUUCUGUUGCUGGUGGUACCGGUGCAUCCACCGCCGGCAUAUGUCUCGAAGACGAAGAUCUCGCUCGAGCACUUCCUCGGCUCCGUCCACGGCCUCUUGUACUCAUAUCGUAUUAUCUUGAUUACGAAUUUUUAUGCAUCAAUUAAUAUUCUAGUGUUUAUUACAGAUGUUUUAUGAAUCAGACAGUAGUUCAGAGUUUGUUUUCGCAGAAUCGAAGUCUAGCUACAGUUUCAGUCUCUUAUCAGAUUUUCCUAUGGUUUCAGUAUCAUCCUAUCUAGAGUAUCCUAAUAGGGUUUCAGUAUAGACAGAUAAUUCAGGAAAAUAUUCAAAAAAUUUCAGAGUAAUACUUACAGGCUUGGGCCGGAGAUUCGGAAUGCCACCUUCUAAAGAUCUAAAUUUUGAAAUUUGAGUUUUUCGCAUUCUUUAUAAAAUUUUCGUUUUUGAAAAUCUUUAUUUUUGUAAACCCAUUCCACAGCCGAUUUGUUGCAACCUAGGCUCUGAUACCACUAAAUGUAGCACCCCAAACCCGGCCCAAAUGUUACGGUCGGAUCUGACAUGCCACAUCGAAGCGUUCAAAACAUUUUAUAUUAUUCAUCCAGAAAAACCUACUUAGUGUUUUAAAAGAUAAUUUCAUUAUAGGUUAAAGUGAAUGGAAGCUGUGCACCAGGUAGGAAACCGGAAAAAAGGAGGUGAGUCUAUCGGACUACUUAAGUACCAAGCUCCCUUCGGAUCCAAUCCUAGACAUGCACACCGCCAUUGCCACACCUUAACGUCAUGUAUAUUUCUAGGAAACCGAUUUGAUUAAGUUAUUUUUAGGAAAAGUGAUUAAUUUUG